This is a non-coding RNA of Saimiri boliviensis boliviensis (Bolivian squirrel monkey), 658 nucleotides long. Lineage: Eukaryota; Metazoa; Chordata; Mammalia; Primates; Cebidae. The record is from RefSeq and is a predicted model, not a curated record.
UCUCCGCGCCCCCGCGAGCCGCCAGGCUGCAGGCAGGGUGGGCCGAUGCUCCUGAUCCACCUGGAGCACUUUCGCAAAGACAAACGCGGUUCCUCCUACUUCUGAGCAAGUCUGGGCCAGCUGGGAUCCGACCAGAAACCGCAAGCAGAGGAGACGCAGGCACACAAGCUGAGCGCUAACGGAAGGCGCGACCUGAGCCCCGCGCCUGCUGGGGAGCUGCGCAGCCAGGACAGCAGUCGGCGGCGCAGGGCCGGCCGUCGCCCCGUCACGUCCGAGGCUAGCAAGGCUGCCCGCCAGCCCCGCCGCCCGCCUUCGGACUUCCCGGGGCGCCCAGGGCCCUCCCAACGCGCCUGCACCCACACCCGCCCCUGACCCACAGUGACCCUGCAUUCCCCGCCCCCCGCCACACCUCCUGCGUGCCGGAAUGUCGCCCUUAAACGCUGCUCUACACCCAGAGAGGGACGAAUCCACCUUUGAAGGCAGGGCAGGACUAAUUUCAAUGGGUCAGCAGGUUCUUGAAGGCACUGUUUUAUUUAAGAGUGUCUAUUUACUGGCAGGAGUAUUUGUGUGGGAGGAAGUAGGUUAAGACUGCUGUUGAACUUGAAGCUAAACUUGAAUGCCAUUUAAAAUAACAAUAAAAAUAUACUUAAAACACCAA